AUUGAACGCUGGCGGCAGGCUUAACACAUGCAAGUCGAGCGGGGUGAUGGUGCUUGCACUAUCACUUAGCGGCGGACGGGUGAGUAAUGCUUAGGAAUCUGCCUAUUAGUGGGGGACAACAUCUCGAAAGGGAUGCUAAUACCGCAUACGUCCUACGGGAGAAAGCAGGGGAUCUUUAUGACCUUGCGCUAAUAGAUGAGCCUAAGUCGGAUUAGCUAGUUGGUGGGGUAAAGGCCUACCAAGGCGACGAUCUGUAGCGGGUCUGAGAGGAUGAUCCGCCACACUGGGACUGAGACACGGCCCAGACUCCUACGGGAGGCAGCAGUGGGGAAUAUUGGACAGUGGGGGGAACCCUGAUCCAGCCAUGCCGCGUGUGUGAAGAUGGCCUUAUGGUUGUAAAGCACUUUAAGCGAGGAGGAGGCUCUUUUGGUUAAUACCCAAGAUGAGUGGACAUUACUCGCAGAAUAAGCACCGGCUAACUCUGUGCCAGCCGCCGCAGUAA
RNAcentral lists this ribosomal RNA (502 nucleotides) under uncultured bacterium. RNAcentral describes it as "partial 16S ribosomal RNA". It matches the Rfam family "Bacterial small subunit ribosomal RNA", at positions 30 to 523 of the family's 1533-position model. The record is from RNAcentral.